GACGAACCAUGCAAACGUUAUUCGGAAUUACUGGGCUUAAAGCGUGCGUAGGCGGUUCAGAAAGUUGGGUGUGAAAUGCCUCGGCUUAACCGAGGAAUUGCGCCCAAAACUACUGAGCUUGAGGGAGUUAGAGGUGAGCGGAACUCACGGUGGAGCGGUGAAAUGCGUUGAUAUCGUGAGGAACACCGGAGGCGAAAGCGGCUCACUGGGGCUUCACUGACGCUGAGGCACGAAAGCUAGGGGAGCAAACGGG
RNAcentral lists this ribosomal RNA (253 nucleotides) under uncultured bacterium. Its description in RNAcentral is "partial 16S ribosomal RNA". It matches the Rfam family "Bacterial small subunit ribosomal RNA", at positions 524 to 776 of the family's 1533-position model. The record is from RNAcentral.